GACGAACGCUGGCGGCGUGCUUAACACAUGCAAGUCGAACGGUAAGGCCCUUCGGGGUACACGAGUGGCGAACGGGUGAGUAACACGUGGGUGAUCUGCCCUGCACUUCGGGAUAAGCCUGGGAAACUGGGUCUAAUACCGGAUAGGACUCCUGGCUUCAUGGUUGGGGGUGGAAAGCUUUUGCGGUGUGGGAUGGGCCCGCGGCCUAUCAGCUUGUUGGUGGGGUAAUGGCCUACAAAGGCGACGACGGGUAGCCGGCCUGGGAGGGUGACCGGUCACAGUGGGACUGAGAUACGGCCCAGACUCCUACGGGAGGCAGCAGUGGGGAAUAUUGCACAAUGGGCGCAAGCCUGAUGCAGCGACGCCGCGUGAGGGAUGACGGCCUUCGGGUUGUAAACCUCUUCCAGCUAUGACGAAGCGCAAGUGACGGUAGUAGCAGAAGAAGGACCGGCCAACUACGUGCCAGCAGCCGCGGUAA
RNAcentral lists this ribosomal RNA (478 nucleotides) under uncultured bacterium. RNAcentral describes it as "partial 16S ribosomal RNA". It matches the Rfam family "Bacterial small subunit ribosomal RNA", at positions 28 to 523 of the family's 1533-position model. The record is from RNAcentral.